RNAcentral lists this transfer RNA (75 nucleotides) under Pseudomonadota bacterium. RNAcentral describes it as "tRNA-Thr". It matches the Rfam family "tRNA". Rfam says of the family: Transfer RNA (tRNA) molecules are approximately 80 nucleotides in length. Their secondary structure includes four short double-helical elements and three loops (D, anti-codon, and T loops). The record is from RNAcentral. RNAcentral also lists the same sequence under 4 other names. Lineage: Bacteria; Pseudomonadati; Pseudomonadota.
GCCGCCGUAGCUCAGAGGUAGAGCACGUCCUUGGUAAGGACGGGGUCGGAAGUUCGAUUCUUCUCGGCGGCACCA